Molecule: ribosomal RNA, 672 nt
Filed under: Acrobeloides sp. Khr
Lineage: Eukaryota; Metazoa; Nematoda; Chromadorea; Rhabditida; Cephalobidae
Description: partial large subunit ribosomal RNA
Rfam family: Eukaryotic large subunit ribosomal RNA
Source: RNAcentral
GUGGCGUGCGGCACGCCUGUGUGCUCGAAAGGGUGCAUGGGUGUGUGCGGUAUGCUACUGGUUAGUGCAUUUGCGGGUGAUGUGCGCUGAGGCGUGUGGUGGUGUCCGGCAAACCGUUUGGAGAGGACUUGUCUUCGGACUUGAACCCUACAGGCGGGGAGUAGGAUUGCUGCUGCACGUAGAUAAAGCGAUUAGGUGGAAACGCGGUGCCAUGCCGUCGGGCUAGUUACUUGGUCGGUCGCAUGCGACUGCUCCUCGUCGGCUGGUCUUGGCGGUGUAGUGCUGACCUGGUCGACCCUCGGUGUAAAAGUCGGUCAUCUCUCCGACCCGUCUUGAAACACGGACCAAGGAGUCUAGCGUAUACGCGAGUCAUUGGGUGGAAAACCCAUAGGCGUAAUGAAAGUGAAGGUCUCUUUAUGAGGCUGAUAUGCGAUCCGUUGCACUUCGGUGUACGCGGAGCAGCAUAGCCCCGUCUCGACUGCUUGCAGUGGGGCGGAGGUAGAGCGUAUGCGCUGGUACCCGAAAGAUGGUGAACUAUGCCUGAGCAGGAUGAAGCCAGAGGAAACUCUGGUGGAGGUCCGAAGCGCUUCUGACGUGCAAAUCGAUCGUCUGACUUGGGUAUAGGGGCGAAAGACUAAUCGAACCAUCUAGUAGCUGGUUUCCUUCCGAAAA